UCUAAUUGAUUUUCCACUCAUGUUGCGCAAGAGUUGAAAGAAGAAAAUUAAAUUAUUCUUCCUAAUCAAUAUUUCUUCAAACUUUAUUGAGAUUUUCUUAGUGAAGAAAUUGAAAUAGUAAUGAAUACUACAGUAUUGGUGUUUUUACCUUUGAUGAAUGCUGCACCUUCUUGAAUACAAAUACUCAUGAAUAAUGAUAAAUUUAAUUGUAAUCACUCCUCGAAAAUUAAUCAUAUUUAUAUGGAUAAUGGUACAUCAAUUUUUAAUUCAUUCUCUGCCUGUAUCUGAAGAAAUAGAUGAUUUACAUGGCAUAGCGGUUGAUGUCUACAAUCGAAGUCUAUGCUCGAUGUCUAUGCUGGAUGUCCAUGCCCAAAGUCCAUGAUUGAAGCCAGGUCCCAUAUUCCACGUUCCAUGGUGAGGCUGCAAGUCUACAUUCGGUGAACCAGACCGAUGAUUACGAAUCCAGGACGUCCAGUCUAAUUAUUCUGGUACGAGGACUGGUCCAGACGAAUCUGGGAAGAUUCCACCGGAGUUCGUAAUUGUACAAACCCGCCACACCACAAGAUUCGCCAUCUUCAAAUAAUAUCGACGUAUAAGGAUAUCAGCCAAACUUCGUAACAUUGCCCAUAUGGAUAAAGUGUAAACAGUGCUCACGAAAAGUAAAAUAUUGCAAAAGUGUUCAUCGAUUAAAAGGGUUUUGGGGCGCCCCUCCUCAACAUAUAAGGUAUUUAUCUGAAUCACUAUGUAUUGAGAUCAAAAUGUAAUCUGUUUAUUUUAUAUUCAUAAUUUGUUGCACUGUUUAAUCUGUUUUCAAUAUUUAAUUAGAUGCUUCUUUUAACUAUCGAUAACUGUACAAUUGAUUUGAUUCUAUAUUUAAAUUUGUCCAAUUCUGUUUAUCUUCAAAAUUAAAUUUAACACACAUGCUUACUACCGAAUAUAUCGUUUUUAUUACAAUACUACCCAUUUGCAAUGUUUAAGGUCUGUAGACUGCUGUCAAAUUAAUUAAGUAUACGUUAAUUGAAUUAUUCCGGUCUUUCUUACUUUGUGUUGAUGGAAUUGAUUCCUAAAUCUGUUGGUUUGAAUCCAGUUUCAUUGGCAUACAGUGGAAGGAUUGAAUAAAACAAAAUAAAAACGAUACAAAUCUAAAUUAUUAUCUAUUGUACAUUUCUACACUACAACAUUCAAAAAGAUCAGACAGGCAUUGGAAGCACAAACACAGACACAUUCAUGAAGGCACUGUUCACCUGUCUAGCAUUUUUCUAUUCUGUAUCGUAUUCAAUUUAACAAUAUACAGUGUUCAAUAAAGAUCAUUGAAAUAAUUCUAUGAGAGUUCUUAUUCUUUCAAAAAUACACAACAAUUUUGGCGACGAGGAUGGGAUAUGUAGUAAGUCCAGCUUCAAUUCACGUGAGUACAUUCUAGCCUUCAACUAACCUGCAAAGACAAGAUGGAAUCAUUGACGGCUGCUAUUACUCAGCUUGUAGAACGAAUGGAGCCUAACAAACAAAAGGAAAGGCCCAUUUCAUUUGAAAAUUUUGAUGAGAAUAAGGAAACCUUUUGCUCAUACAAAGAGAGGUUGGAAAAUUUUUUCGUAUUGAAAGGCCUGUCUGAUCCUGCAGAGCUUGGAUUGCGUGCUUGCAUUCUCAUUAAUAGCAUUGGUAGCAAAUACUACCUACAAGUUACUCAGUAGUUCAACUGCACCGAAAUCGCCUACUGAUGAAUCAUAUGAAACAUUAUGUGAGCUUUUAACUUACUUCAACAUUUGUGCCCUGCACCUAAUGUUUGUGCUGAGCAGCACAGGUUCCUGACUAGACUUCAAGGACAAUCUGAAUCAAUUUGUGAGUACAUAGCAGCAUUAAAAACAUUCACACUGUCUUGUGAAUUUAAUUGCUAAAAUCCAGACUGUAAAAAAUCUGUGGCUGAUUUAUUUCUGCAAGCCCAGUUUGUUCGUGGGUUGUUAGAUGCUAAUAUUUGUGAGAAGCUUAUGCAAGAAACCUCAUUAACAUCCAAUAAGGCUUGCAAUUUGGCAUUGUCCUUGGAUGCUUCCAAGAGAGGAAACCUGGAAAUGUCAUCCAAACCUGUCAAUUUGCUUGUUACUCACAAAGGACCACAAAAAUUUUUCCAAAGGUCUCAACUUUCCAAGUCUGCCACCAGGGUUGAUCUAUCUGCAUUGGGCCUGCAAGGACUCGAUGUGGGUUUGCAAACCAUAAAACACGAGAUUGUCGGUGGAAUGCAUUCACUCUCCAGUGCUCAUCCUGUGGCUCCCCUGGCCAUUUGUCCAAAGUUUGUAUAAAAACUCACACCAAAAAGUCAUCAGUUGAACAAAUCGAUGAAACUUCACAAUCCUUUGAUGAAGAUGAUGGUAAUUUUCCUGAUAACACUUCAAAUAUUAUCAAUGUGAGAUUCUUGUCUGGUCCUGAUACUGAAAAAUUCAUGGUUCCAAUCACAAUUGGGAAUCAUGUCUGUAACUUUGAAGCAGAUUCCGGUAGCCCUGUCACUAUUAUCAAUGAGAAGGAAAUGCAUAAGCUCCAGCAUUUGUCUCCUACAAAUGUGAAAUUUCGCAUCAACACCAAGUAAAUUUUCUCGCCAUUAGGGGAGUUGACAAUUCCUGUGACUUACAAAAGAAAAUGUUUCAAAGAAACCCUUUAUGUUGUUGACACAGACUCUCCUGCAAUCUUAGGUCAAGCAUGGAUGCGAUGCCUUCAGAUUUCCAUCAACACAAUCAGCCAUGUUUCAUCAACUACAGACUCAUUUCAAAAUGAAAUCCUCCAGAUGUAUCCAGAUGUCUUCAAAGACAAAAUAGGAACUAUUCCAAACUACAAAUGUUCUCUUAUCAUGAAUGAUCAGGUCAAACCAAUAUUUUUAAAGCCCUGUCCAGUGCCAUAUGCUCUACAAGACAGAGUUGAAGCUAAGUAGUAUAAAAAGGGCGACUCUGGCACACAAGUGUGCCAGAGUCGCCCUUCACC
Molecule: long non-coding RNA, 2964 nt
Organism: Nilaparvata lugens (brown planthopper)
Lineage: Eukaryota; Metazoa; Arthropoda; Insecta; Hemiptera; Delphacidae
Exons: 3
Source: RefSeq, a predicted model, not a curated record